This 474-nucleotide ribosomal RNA is filed under the name Fulvifomes rimosus. RNAcentral describes it as "eukaryotic LSU rRNA". It matches the Rfam family "Eukaryotic large subunit ribosomal RNA", at positions 894 to 1373 of the family's 3401-position model. The record is from RNAcentral. Lineage: Eukaryota; Fungi; Basidiomycota; Agaricomycetes; Hymenochaetales; Hymenochaetaceae.
CAAAUUGAUCGUCAAAUUUGGGUAUAGGGGAAAAAGAUUAAUCGAACCAUUAGUAGCUGGUUCCUGCAGAAGUUUCCCUGAGGAUAGCAGAGAUUCGUAUCAGAUUUAUGUGGUAAAGCGAAUGAUUAGAGGCCUUGGGGUUGAAACAACCUUAACUUAUUCUCAUUCUUAAAAUAGUAAGACCGGGCUGUUUUUUGGUUGGACCGCUUGUGAUUGAGAGUUUCUAGUGGGCCAUUUUUGGUAAGCAGAACUGGCGAUGCGGGAUGAACCGAACGCGAGGUUAAGGUGCCGGAAUACACGUUCAUCAGACACCACAAAAGGUGUUAUUCAUUUAGACAGCAGGACGGUGGCCAUGGAAGUCGGAAUCCGUUAAGGAGUGUGUAACAAUUCACCUGCCGAUGAACUAGCCCUGAAAAUGGAUGGCGGUUCAAGCGUGUUACCCAAUACUUUCUUCUUUUUAAAAAAAGGGGUUUU